UACGUAGGUGGCAAGCGUUGUCCGGAUUUACUGGGCGUAAAGAGCGCGCAGGCGGUCGACCAAGUCGCGUGUGAAAGCCCCCGGCUCAACUGGGGAGGGUCACGCGAUACUGAUCGACUCGAAGGCAGGAGAGGGUAGUGGAAUUCCCGGUGUAGUGGUGAAAUGCGUAGAUAUCGGGAGGAACACCAGUGGCGAAGGCGACUACCUGGCCUGUUCUUGACGCUGAGGCGCGAAAGCUAGGGUAGCAAACGGG
Molecule: ribosomal RNA, 253 nt
Filed under: uncultured bacterium
Lineage: Bacteria
Description: partial 16S ribosomal RNA
Rfam family: Bacterial small subunit ribosomal RNA
Source: RNAcentral